GUAUCGGUGGUUCAGUAGAAUGCUCGCCUGCCACGCGGGCGGCCCGGGUUCGAUUCCCGGCCGAUGCA
Molecule: transfer RNA, 68 nt
Filed under: Trichonephila inaurata madagascariensis
Lineage: Eukaryota; Metazoa; Arthropoda; Arachnida; Araneae; Nephilidae
Rfam family: tRNA
About the family: Transfer RNA (tRNA) molecules are approximately 80 nucleotides in length. Their secondary structure includes four short double-helical elements and three loops (D, anti-codon, and T loops).
Source: Rfam by way of RNAcentral